Molecule: long non-coding RNA, 344 nt
Filed under: Anser brachyrhynchus (Pink-footed goose)
Lineage: Eukaryota; Metazoa; Chordata; Aves; Anseriformes; Anatidae
Description: lncRNA (ENSABRG00000012720.1)
Source: RNAcentral
AAAGUGACUAAAUGAAAAUAUUGAAAACAAUAAACUCACUUGUUUUGGGCUUUUGUAUUACCUUGAUAGUGAUAAUCCAUGGCCAAGGAAGAAAUUAACACAAGAUGAUACACAGAAGCUGGACUGAGAUCAAAAAUAGAAGAUCAAUUCUGGGGAAAGCAAAGUAUAUUCUUAGCGCUGCUGUCUGUCAUAGAUCUUCAGUGCUUCAACCAUGCUUUCUGGAUGUCUUUGGCGUCUAUAUGUACCAUCUUUCCCUCCAGCAAGAUGAAAGAUGCCUGACUAAAAGAAAUCCCAGGCUGAGAAACCUUGGUCCCUCUGCUGUUGCAGUUACACACCACUGGUGA